AGAGCGAACGCUGGCGGCAGGCUUAACACAUGCAAGUCGAGCGCCCCGCAAGGGGAGCGGCAGACGGGUGAGUAACGCGUGGGAACGUACCUUUGGUUCGGAACAACACAGGGAAACUUGUGCUAAUACCGGAUAAGCCCUUACGGGGAAAGAUUUAUCGCCGAAAGAUCGGCCCGCGUCUGAUUAGCUAGUUGGUGAGGUAACGGCUCACCAAGGCGACGAUCAGUAGCUGGUCUGAGAGGAUGAUCAGCCACAUUGGGACUGAGACACGGCCCAAACUCCUACGGGAGGCAGCAGUGGGGAAUAUUGGACAAUGGGCGCAAGCCUGAUCCAGCCAUGCCGCGUGAGUGAUGAAGGCCCUAGGGUUGUAAAGCUCUUUUAACGGGGAAGAUAAUGACGGUACCGUAGAAUAAGCCCCGGCUAACUUCGCGCCAGCAGCCGC
RNAcentral lists this ribosomal RNA (442 nucleotides) under uncultured bacterium. Its description in RNAcentral is "SSU rRNA". It matches the Rfam family "Bacterial small subunit ribosomal RNA", at positions 26 to 518 of the family's 1533-position model. The record is from RNAcentral.